UUGUUGCUGAUUCUUACCUCGGACGCUACCGCACCAUUGUCGUUGCUUCACUCCUCUACAUCUUGAGUGGUAGUGGCAGGCUAGUGAGGGUAAUGCAGGUUAUGCAGCAGCUCUUGUAGGCUAGCUAGAUGUGCAAGUUCUGCUCUGCUUUGGCAAGAGGAGCCUCUUCAUUUUAUUGUCUUGAAAAAAACCAAGGUGUUACCAUUCUUUAUCUAAAUUGGAACAAGGACUUGGCUUGUUUACUGUCUCGCCCUUGCUUCCUUCUCUUAGCGCUUCUGACUGAGAAAACCGCUCAGUCAACACCAUGUUCUUCUCGUCUCCAAGAAUUGUUAUUCUUCUAUCUGGUUGCUGUCGGGAUGGACACAAGCCUUGCAUUCAGGCUUUUGGAGCUCAUCAGUUUAGUGGACAAGAUGCAGAGGAAUGCAGAACCAAAAGCUCAUUCUUCAAUUGGUGGUAUUUUGGUUUAUGUGCAGGUCUCUUGUGUACAUAUUUUUCGUUAUUAGCCUACGUUCAGGACAACCUGAGCUGGGAUCUUGAUUUUAGAAUUCCUUGUAUUCUGAUGGUCUUCGCAUUGCCUAUUUUCCAUCUUGAACUAGAACUUAGCGAUAUAGCGUCACCGGGGAUGAGAAAGCCGGUUUGUGAGAAUUGGUAA
Fragaria vesca subsp. vesca is the source of this 652-nucleotide RNA transcript. It is a transcript of the gene named probable peptide/nitrate transporter At1g22540-like, with no coding region annotated. The record is from RefSeq and is a predicted model, not a curated record. NCBI's taxonomy places the organism in Eukaryota, Viridiplantae, Streptophyta, Magnoliopsida, Rosales, Rosaceae. The transcript is spliced from 3 exons.